RNAcentral lists this long non-coding RNA (1595 nucleotides) under Dromaius novaehollandiae (emu). RNAcentral's name for it is "lncRNA (ENSDNVG00000010351.1)". The record is from RNAcentral. Lineage: Eukaryota; Metazoa; Chordata; Aves; Casuariiformes; Dromaiidae.
CUCCACAGAAUCUUAUUUUCCUUUUCACUAGCACUCAAACAUACGUCUUCUCCAAAUGCGAGUUAGCAGAGGAAUACCUCUUAAACCCAGGAACAACAGGAUGGAACAUGUGGGGCCAGGAUUUUCCAGGACUGCCUGAGGGUCAUCUGGACGUUUCUGCAUGGUAAGUCCACCUGUCAUCCAGUGGCCACUUUCGACCAGGGCUGAAUGUGCAAUGCUGAAAGAAGGGGAGGGCACAAUGCUUUGGGAGGCAAACACAAGGUUUCCUCCCCACUGCCCUUCAUUAGAUCCUGCCGCUGCCCAGGCUGUCCCUAACAAUCACUGUGGGUAUAAUUUUAGAAAGAACUGGAAGAAGGAAAACCGUUACUGCAACUUUCAGUUGGCAGACUACAUCACCGUGUUUCUGCCUCCUGGCUCUUCUACCCCACAUGCCUUGGAAAGGAGAGAAAGGGAAACAGCUAGAAGAGGAGGAAGAACAGGAAAAAGAAGGAACAGCUCAGGACUCCGUUCUCCAGAUCUGCCAGUGAUGAGAAGAAGCAGCUGUAGUAGCAGUUCACAGCAUGGAGGGGUUGCUCUGAUCUCAUUUCGGGAAUAAGUUUGCUUGCUAAGAGGUGAGGACAGGAGACCUGUGGGAAGGAAGUGAGCUCUGACUCUCUGUCCAGUAUCAUCAGACACUGCUUCUGCUGUCAUUUCCAUCACCCUGCACAUGAGACAUGAGGAACUGAACACGCGGUAGGAAGAGCCUGAACAGAUCAUGCAAAGCAGCACAUCCUCCAGUUGCUCGAAGGGACACUGUGGAACAUGGAGCUGGAAUGCCGUGGGUUUGAGGAAAGACUCGAGAGAGAGAGAGAAGUUGAGGGGGAACAGGGAUAUCAGGCAGACUCCAAGCAGAUGACUUGUGCCAAGUGAGAUGGCUGGCAGGAGGAUGAAUGCAAAGCUGGAAAGUCAGGAGGAGAUGUACACACAGCAUUUAGUUCUUUUCUGAUUUAAUCCAAAAUCCUUUGCUGUUUGCCUUUUUUCAUAAUGUCCUCGUUCUCAGGUCAUGUGAUUAAGUGAGACUUUCAGCCUUCAAUUAAAAAUAAUUCUACUGGUUCUUCAGGUCACAGAGAAAAGCUUGCAACAGACAACCCCACUGGAAAGGCUGAAAGCCCAGGGUGCAGCCUGAAUCCCUUUGAGAUAAUCCGUUGCCUUCCUAUUGGUGGUUGCUGUAUUGUGGUUUUUUGAAGUCACCAAGACCCAGUCAGAGCUGCAGCACAUAUUUGGGUUUUUAGGCCAUGUAUUUUACCCCAAAUGUGGUAGAUCUGUGGGAGGAAGAUGGAACAGCCCAGAAAUGGCAUCAUUUUGACACAUGGAAGACAGUGAUUCAGAUAUUUCACAGGUACAUGGACUUCUGCAAAUAUGCAGCUCAUGAAAAACUUGGCAAUGUUUAAAGAAGCAGUUUGAUAGUGUCAGUCCCAUUAUCAUCAUGCCAACUGGUCAUUUUGUUUUGCCACAUAAGCAGAGGGUUCAAGCACUUGAUUGGCCUAACAAAACUUAACUGUCAUCUAAGGAAGUCAGAUUUGAGGAAGAAAUAUUGUAUAUGAACAUAUAUAGAC